CACGUAGGGGGCGAGCGUUGUCCGGAUUUAUUGGGCGUGAAGCGUGCGUAGGCGGCUGCGCAAGUCGGGUGUGAAACCCCGGGGCUCAACCCCGGAACUGCAUCCGAUACUGCGUGGCUAGAGGUAGGUAGGGGAGAUCGGAAUUCCUGGUGUAGCGGUGAAAUGCGCAGAUAUCAGGAGGAACACCGGUGGCGAAGGCGGAUCUCUGGGCCUUACCUGACGCUCAGGCACGAAAGCUAGGGGAGCGAACAGG
Molecule: ribosomal RNA, 253 nt
Filed under: uncultured bacterium
Lineage: Bacteria
Description: partial 16S ribosomal RNA
Rfam family: Bacterial small subunit ribosomal RNA
Source: RNAcentral